GAGGAGGAGGAGGAGGAGGAGGAGGAAGAGACUUGCUUUGGCAGGGAGGGCGAAGGGGGGGUAAGGUGAAAAGGGUCAGUGAGUAACCCAGCUCCAGUAUGAUAAAGGUAAUUGUUGCUCCCAAGUGAGCACCGGGUGCUUCCUGGCUCUGGCUGCUCUGGCUGCUCGUGUCUGUGUUAUGCAGGCGUCUGCUGUGCCGAGCAGGGCUUUGCGAGAGGAGAGGAGAGGUUUGAUUGACCCUGUUGGCAGCGGUACGUGGCGAUAUUUGACGUUGUUUCUGCGCUAGCAUCACCAGGGCAGGGAGGAAGAUGCAGAGUCAGGGGCACGGCACUUGUGUGCUACCUAGGAUUUAUUUAGCUGGAGUAAGGACCGUGGCAAUUAAGAAUAAUUAAUUACAGUCUGCGAGCUGGGGCAGGGGGAGAGCGGCGUGGACCUAACCUGUCAUUAAGCUGUGGGCUCUGUGGAUGCUUUGCUGUGACGGAGGGCCGAGGGCUGACCAAGUCGUGGGGAGGAUUUGUAUGUGGGAAGAGAGGAGAUGGCUGUGCAGCGUGCUCCCGAAUCUGCUCUGAGCUUGCUGAUGGUAAGUGCUUGCUGAAAUCCAUUUGGGAAAGGGGGGUGGGCGAGGGGAGCUGCUCCGCAUGGAUUCAGGGCUCCAAAUCCACAGGAGGAUUUUGUGUGAGCCGGUGCUUGGCUUUUAGAGGUCCCAGGGAACUUUGCAAAAGGCUCAUCUGGGGCUCGCAUGGAGGCAAUUCCUCCCACGAUGGGUUUUAGCACAUCUGGACCGGUGAUCAGGGCAGGAUUGUGAAGUCACCUUUCCGGCAGGGCUGGCACUUGCGUUCGGGGUUUAUCCUGAGCAGCAGAUUUAAUUUUGUUC
This 874-nucleotide long non-coding RNA is filed under the name Cyanistes caeruleus (blue tit). RNAcentral's name for it is "lncRNA (ENSCCEG00000020319.1)". Lineage: Eukaryota; Metazoa; Chordata; Aves; Passeriformes; Paridae. The record is from RNAcentral.